UCGGCCAUUUGGAAAAAUGAGGAAACAUAUUCUGAGGGAAGUUUUAAUUUUGAAUUUAUCACUGAAGAGGAAGCUAAAAUGAAGGGAUUGUAUUAUUUAAAUGAUCCAAUAACCAUUAUGGAAGGAUAUUUUCCACCCCCAAAAAAAGUUAAAAAGCACCAAAUUCCAACUGGCAAUGAUUAUUUGGAGUUAUUCCAACAUUACCCAUCACGCUUAAUGGACACGAAUAAAUCCACUUGGUCUAGUGUGAGAGUGGAUCGAUAUGGUUUCGGAUGCGAUCUCGAUAUGUCAGUAUCAAAUGACGUUUCUCUUGAAAUAAGGGGGGAAGCAGCUGAUAGUUACAAGAAAAUAAUUAAUUUAUACCCUCA
Molecule: long non-coding RNA, 368 nt
Organism: Pieris brassicae (large cabbage white)
Lineage: Eukaryota; Metazoa; Arthropoda; Insecta; Lepidoptera; Pieridae
Exons: 3
Source: RefSeq, a predicted model, not a curated record